UACAGAGGGUGCAAGCGUUAAUCGGAAUUACUGGGCGUAAAGCGUGCGUAGUCGGUUAUUUAAGUCGGGUGUGAAAGCCCCGGGCUCAACCUGGGAAUUGCAUUCGAUACUGGAUAGCUAGAGUUCGGCAGAGGGAAGCGGAAUUUCCGGUGUAGCGGUGAAAUGCGUAGAUAUCGGGAAGAACACCAACGGCGAAAGCACUCUGCUGGGCCGAAAAACUGACACUGAUAGACGAAAGCUAGGGGAGCAAAUGGG
This 255-nucleotide ribosomal RNA is filed under the name uncultured bacterium. Its description in RNAcentral is "partial 16S ribosomal RNA". It matches the Rfam family "Bacterial small subunit ribosomal RNA", at positions 524 to 776 of the family's 1533-position model. The record is from RNAcentral.